CGGUCCUUCAUGGGCUUGUGGCCAGGCAACUUGGCCUCCUCCUGUGUGAUGAAAGUCCUUUUGGGCAUCCUCUUCCAAAACAGCCCGGUCUCGUCGCAGUUGAAGACCUGCUGUGGAACGUAGCCCUCCGUCUUCACAACCUCCAGGAACUCCAAGGCAAAGUCUUCAGCCGCAGGAACAUCAGAACUGGCAGCCUCUCCAUGCCUGACCACGCUGUGGAUUCCAGAUCUUGCCUUGAACCGGUCAAACCAGCCUCUGCUUGCCUUGAAGACUUCUGGCUCGCCUGAGGUUCCUGGCUGUUCCCGGAUGAGGUCUGCGUGCAAGGCCUUGGCCUUCUCACAAAUCACGGCCUCAGUCACUGUGUCCCCUGCACGCUGCUUCUCUUCUAACCAGAUGAGCAGCAACUUCUCGACCUCCUCCAGAACAGCUGGGCGGUUCUUCACGAUCCUGGUGACUCCCUUGGCUGCAUCAGUCGCAAGGAUCUUCUCCCUCAUCUUCAGGAUGGUCCCGAUGGUCGAUGGGUUCCUGCCGUACUCCCUGGCGAGGUCCGUCACACGCAUUCCACCGUCGUGCUUCCAGAUGAUCUCCUUCUUCAUUUCCAGCGUCACCUUCUCCUUCUUCCUCUCGCCGGCCUCCGCAGCAGCAGCAGUCUUCUUGGGUCCCAUGGCAGCACAGCUCUUACCUUCGUAAACUCAGAAAAAGAAAAAAAAAUCAGCAAUUCAAACCCAGAACCAAGUCCUUGAAUUCCAAACACCCAACCCAAAAUCCAAAACCCCCC
This is a non-coding RNA of Podarcis lilfordi (Lilford's wall lizard), 778 nucleotides long. Lineage: Eukaryota; Metazoa; Chordata; Lepidosauria; Squamata; Lacertidae. The record is from the annotation of a GenBank genome assembly.